ACUCAUUGGCCUCGGCUGCCGCGGUUGACGAAGCGACGCCGGACCGACGGGAGUGCCGAGAGCGGAACUGAAGAAUCUCAUCCUUCAAUUCGGCGGAUCGUAUCCAGAUGAUGAUGAUGAUGAUGAUGAUGAUCCAUCCGACCUUAGCCUUGGCAAUUGGAUAAAGAUCUUGUAAACAGUUGACACCGCCGGGCAUCCCCAUUUGCGCGCGGCGUGGAUGGGCGAAAUAAUGGAAUUCCGAAAGACGGCAGUGAAGUGGGAGCGAACAGAACGAAGAAAGAAUCGGAUAGCACAUAUCCUGGAAUGAAUCGAAAUUUGUCUCGGAAAUGAAAUGGGUCUGACGAUAGUUCAGCGGCGGUGGUGGCGUGAGCCCGAGAUGGCCCGGCCACAGAUAAAUCUGAUCCAGACAUGGAUAAGGACAGGAAAGCGACGACUUGAAUCAGAGUGGCUGCGACCCGAGUGUGGAAUCUGAUGGUGUCGUUCACUGUGGGAUGAUCUGAAUUGCUGGAGAUGAAUCAGGGGAAUCCAGAGCUACAGAGAGAGAGAGAGAGAGAGAGAGAGAGAGAGAGAGAAAAAAAAAAAAAAAAUCUGGUAGGAGAAAAAUUUGUCAAGUUUGCAAGGAAGGUGUUUGAUGGAAUGAUGAAGCCGAACUCUAUUUUCAAGGAUACCCAUUCGAGAGAAAGAGAGAGAGAGAGAGAGAGAGAGAGAGAGAGAGAGAGAGAGAGAGCAUGAUGUUGUUGAUUCUAAUAGGAAAAGCCACUGCCAGAGGCUUGGAUGCUGUGAUGUUGAGAGAAAGGCUGCGGAAAAGUUGUGACGCAGAAACGCCUUUACAUAGUUAUGCCACCGCAGCAAAAGAGAUGACUGUGAGAGAGGCUUUGAAUACUGCAUUGACGACGAAAUAUCUGCAGAUCCUAGAGUCUUUCUAAUGGGUGAGGAGGUCGGAGAAUACCAAGGUUUUUUCUCUUUUCUUUUUGGGCAGAAGCAUGGACCUUAGAGGGUUGUUGAUAUUGCAAUUACAGAGGUGAUUUUCUACGUUAUAAAUUCUCCUGCAAAGAUGAACUACAUGUUGGCUGGCAAUACAUCAGUCCUUAUAGUUUCAAGAGGAGUUGCAGCAGGAGUCAGUGCCCAUCAUUCCCAAGCCUCGUGAAGACAUAGCCGUCCCACCUGGAGGAAGCUUUUCUGGAUCCGGCCUCAUUAGAUCACUCGUCACCCUCAGGAUCUAUCAAACACAAGAAUGGCUCAUGGCGUGUGAAAUGAGAGUUGCCAUGAACGGUGUAACAUCUCUAGUAUGUCCCUCCAACAAAGUGCUUCCUCAUCCUCUGGUUUUUUUAGAUUGGCAGUCACUAAUUUAUUAAGGCAGUGUGUUUAGUUGCAUUAUUUGAAUGCGUUGUUGUCAAGGAGUGAAUAUUUUCCGUGGUCGCAAAUUUUAUCGGUGUUUACUCAAAGUCUCCUUUUCAGUUGAUAUUAAUAUUACGAUGGGAUCAACAUAAGCACAGAAAAAUUAGAUAAUACAUGGCACAUGUGUCCAUUAUAAGAUCGUUGACGCAGGAUGGGACCAUUGUAAUUACUCUACUUAACUCAGCUUGUAAUUUUUGGUUUUAGCCUCAGAAAGUUUCACAUCUACUUCUUUUGUUUGAAAGGGUAAGCAACCAUUCACAAAUUCUGGACAUGCUUGUCUUGUUACAAAGUAGUAAUUGCUUUUGCUAUUCAAUGACACUCUUUGCCCUCAUAAACUUUGAUCGGUGACCUAUUGUUGAACUGCUAUUCUUUAAAUUAGUCCAUGAUUCAGUCAAUUCAAAUUCGAUUUAUUAAUUAUGUGCUCUGGUGUUCUAGGGAUUGAAUGAAUUUUUAUUUGGGUCUGCUUUGUUCGUGGUUAUUAGUAUCAAUAUCAUGUGUUGCUUCAUUCUGUAAUAAUGCAGUGUAGGAAAGUGGCAAACUCCUCAAGCUCACUACUAGGCAACAUUGUCAUUGAUGAUAGGCCAUUUGGGACAUUUGUUUCUCUUGUAUACAUGUAUCUAGUGACAUUAGAUUAACAUAAAGACUCUCUGGAAAUACAAAUCAUGGAGAUUUGAGGAAUGUGGAUUUUUAAGCUGCUUCUUAUGCGAAAUUGAGGUCUCAGAAUUUGACAUUUGUUGAUUCACUUUCAACUGAGGCUAGAUUCAAUGCAUUUAUCAUUGUUUUUCCUUCUCUUAUUUUAAAUAGUGAUGAUGUUGCUGUAGGAUACACCAUCAAGGUUGCUACUAAACCGAAGUAUCAAAUCAAAUCAGUUGCACGAGAAUUGUUUUAUAACUCUUUCCAGUGGCUUCACACACAAACCAUAGUGGUUCCUGAUCUUAUGUCUAGGCUUGGAUUAUUUUAUCCAAUUUGAUGCAGAAUCUGUAACUCUUGAAUUAUUCUGCCACCCAUCAAGGAACGUAUCCAUCGUGGAAAUGAAAUCUCGUAGGAUUUUCACAUUUUCAUCAUCAUUUCUCGAUAUGUAAACUAUGUAUAUUUAGAUAUGUUAAGUGAUGCAAUCACUUUUGGAGCUAGCUUUAGAACGAAUCAUGUGAUACUUUAGCCUUUCAAAUUCCUGGUUAAGCUCUUUCCAGUUCAACUUGGUGACCAUUGAGUUGUCUUCCACACCGAUUGGUUUUAAUAUAUAUAUAUCAUCAAGUGCUAAGUUCCACAACAACUAUAGAGAAAAAAUAAUGAUCAAAGGACUCCACUUAAAUGAGCUUUCACUACUCACUUCUCUCUUGACCUUAUGCCUCAUUUUGGCCCAUUCUUUCUGGUAGUAAGUGAUUUGAUGAUUAAUGUUUACGUAGUUUCGUUCAUUUGUUCACUAGUUAAUGGAGCAUCUGUUGUUUUAGAAAAUUUUGAUUGAACAUCUCUGUUUGUGGCUGUUCAAGUGUAGGAUGGAAAUAGACUGUUUGACUGCUUUAGUAAUGUAUAUCCUUUAAAUUUGAUACCUUGUCUUUUCUGGUUCGAAUGGAAUAGUGUGGCAGUUUCACUUCUCUUGGAUUGGCUUCCCCUCGACGGUGUCCGUCAAUGUGGUAUUUGGUGGGAAUUUAGUUACUAUUUUCAUGAUUGUCAUGCUAGGCAUUACAAACAGGAACAAAAUGAGAACUUGUGGAGUAUAUUUUUGUUCUCCAUGAAUCUCUUCAACCAGGAGGUUGUAUCAUAUAAUGUUGUUUAUGUAUAUGCUGUUGUGGGGUUCGAUUGCUGAUGUAGUCAGAUCAGAAUCAUGACAAACUGGGAGGUUCACCGAUCCACCAAAUGUUUUAACUGUAUGCGUUAGGCAUAUAGCUCAUGUGCACACAUGGGUUCUUUACCUCCCCUAAUAUGGCAUUGUGGAAGUUAUUAAUGUGUUUUGACCAGUUUGAUAGGAACCAAAUCACAGAGGCGAGGCAUGUUCUACUCAGCUAAGCUAAUCAUUCAACCUUACUGUCCAUCCGAGGCAUGUUUGGGAAAGCAGUUUUCUAUGUGCUUCCAAUCCUCAGAGCAAAGUCUUUCAUUUCUAGACAUAGCUUUCCUGCUGAACGCUACAUAUUAUGGAGGCUUGAUUAUGUAUCCUUUAUGGCUUUUCAGAUUUUCUCAGUUUGCAGUCUAAGUGAGCUUCUUAGAUAUGUUGGUUUUACCUCAUUCAAUAAUGUUGCAUUUCCUAGAUAUGUCUUCUAUAGUUCUCUUCCUUCUACUUUACAGGCAUAACAACGCUGGCCUUGAAGUGCCCUUGUGGUUCCUUGUAUAUUUUAAGGAUGUCUCUUUCAUAUGUAGUUUUUGGAUUGCUUUUGAGGAAGUACUUAGUGUACUAACAAUGUAGGUAUGAUGUGAAUUAUACAAAUAUCACCAGCAAGAGUGACCACCCUAAGGGCUAUCAUUUUCUUCGUGCUCACAGGUCUAUUCUUGCUCAGUUUCAAACACUCUUAAUUGAGAAACUGUUUUCUAUGUGCUUCCAAUCCUCAGAGCAAAGUCUUUCAUUUCUAGACAUAGCUUUCCUGCUGAACGCUACAUAUUAUGGAGGCUUGAUUAUGUAUCCUUUAUGGCUUUUCAGAUUUUCUCAGUUUGCAGUCUGAGUGAGCUUCUUAGCUAUGUUGGUUUUACCUCAUUCAAUAAUGCUGCAUUUCCUAGAUAUGUCUUCUAUAGUUCUCUUCCUUAUGCUUUACAGGCAUAACAACACUGGCCUUGAAGUGCCCCUGUGGUUCAUUGUAUAUUUUAAGGAUGUCUCUUUCAUAUGUAGUUUUUGGAUUGCUUUUGAGGAAGUACUUAGUGUACUAACAAUGUAGGUAUGACGUGAAUUAUACAAAUAUCACUAGCAAGAGUGACCACC
Long non-coding RNA from Eucalyptus grandis, 4306 nucleotides. RefSeq lists it as uncharacterized. The transcript is spliced from 2 exons. NCBI's taxonomy places the organism in Eukaryota, Viridiplantae, Streptophyta, Magnoliopsida, Myrtales, Myrtaceae. The record is from RefSeq and is a predicted model, not a curated record.